This 451-nucleotide ribosomal RNA is filed under the name uncultured bacterium. RNAcentral describes it as "partial 16S ribosomal RNA". It matches the Rfam family "Bacterial small subunit ribosomal RNA", at positions 354 to 796 of the family's 1533-position model. The record is from RNAcentral.
GUGGGGAAUAUUGGACAAUGGGGGGAACCCUGAUCCAGCCAUGCCGCGUGUGUGAAGAAGGCCUUUUGGUUGUAAAGCACUUUAAGCGAGGAGGAGGCUACCGAGAUUAAUACUCUUGGAUAGUGGACGUUACUCGCAGAAUAAGCACCGGCUAACUCUGUGCCAGCAGCCGCGGUAAUACAGAGGGUGCAAGCGUUAAUCGGAUUUACUGGGCGGAAAGCGCGCGUAGGUGGCCAAUUAAGUCAAAUGUGAAAUCCCCGAGCUUAACUUGGGAAUUGCAUUCGAUACUGGUUGGCUAGAGUAUGGGAGAGGAUGGUAGAAUUCCAGGUGUAGCGGUGAAAUGCGUAGAGAUCUGGAGGAAUACCGAUGGCGAAGGCAGCCAUCUGGCCUAAUACUGACACUGAGGUGCGAAAGCAUGGGGAGCAAACAGGAUUAGAUACCCUAGUAGUCC